Triticum dicoccoides is the source of this 1043-nucleotide long non-coding RNA. RefSeq lists it as uncharacterized. Lineage: Eukaryota; Viridiplantae; Streptophyta; Magnoliopsida; Poales; Poaceae. The record is from RefSeq and is a predicted model, not a curated record. The transcript has 3 exons.
UCUAACCCUAAUCCCCAUUCUCUCCCCUCCCUCAGCCGCCACAGCAGCCUGCUCCCGAUUCCGGCGAUUCUGGCGGCUAUCCCCAGCAUGGAGCACACCGACGAGCUCCCCUCGCUCUGAUCCAUCCUCCUCUCCGGCAAGAUUAUCCCCUCUUAGCCUCUACCGCUGGCCCAAAACCCACACCCGUGCUAGGGUUUCGGCCACCGGCAUCGCCUUCAUCGUCGGCGCAUCUCCGGCGGCCUUUGACAGCUUUUCUCCAUCAUCUGCAGCGCUCCCACACGCGCUCUCGCCUCCUGAUGGUCAACCUCGAGCAGGGCGGCGCGGAGGACCUCCUCCUGCGGGAUCUACGGACGCGACGCAUGCUACGGCAUCGAUGCGGGAUGAGGGCCGGCACCUCGGCCUUGUCCUGCUCGAUGAUGUUUCCGGCGAACGCCGGUGCUUCUCCUCGUCCUUGACCUAAGGAGGAGCGUCGGGACAGCACAAGCUUGGCCCGCCCCUGAACAAUGGCCAUGACACCAGCGGCGUACAAGACGUCUCCUCCUCAACGUGGCUGUCCCCAACGAGCCCUCUUUGCUGGAGGAGGUGGAGCAGCAAGUCUGGCACCCCCUUGGCCCUUGCACCCUAUCCUACAUCGCCUGGACGAGCUCACUGAUGGCUGUGUCCUCCUUCCCUCCUAGCGUGAUAAUGGUUUAUGGUAGCAUUUUCAACAAAAAGACAUGUGUUCGCAUGCCUUUGUUGUGGACGAGCGGAUCUAUGGCCAGGAAUGCGGGAUGACCCUUGGUUGACGUCUGAGAAGCGUUGUGCGUCCCUUGAUGGGUGUGGUGCUGGUUGUAGAGUAGCAUAGUGUUCUCUGAGACAUGCUUGUAAAAUUAAACUUUUCUGGAUAUUUUUUUUGCUCAUGUAGAGAUGUAUUUUUAGUUCGGUAUGUCAUGCUUGUAAAAUUAAUCUUUUUUGGAUCCUUUUUUUGCUCCUGUACAGAUGCAUUUUCUGGUGUGUAUGUAAUUUUCUGUUUUUAAUGACACAAGCAUAUAUUUUCUGUUAAA